GCUCCGUGAACAAGAAUCUGGAUUCUGGUAACAUCUUUCCGAUGACAGCGUGGGAUAACCCACGUCUCUGCCUUUUUAAGGCAGGCAGUUACGUGCACAAAUAUUCCUUUUGCUUUUUUGUCUUUCUCUCUGUGCCUUCUUUUUCCUUUGUCCUACCUACUUCGUAUCCUCACUCAUGUCCUUUUUCCUGAUGCUUUAUCUGUUAGGCCAGGGAUUUUCAAACAUUUCUACCAAAAUGCUCCUAAUAACCCAAAAGGGUAAAAAAGAUUUAGCCUAACGUGCCCGAUAAAUCCAGUGUGAUAUUUCUUUGGCAUCUCAACAUUUGCUUAUUUCUACAAUUCCUGUGAAUUUUGUGUUUGGCUCCGUGAUCAAUCUGCGGGUAGCAGUUACUGUUUGUGGUUCAGACAACAGAGACCCUUCUCAGUAGCUCAGGCAGAGCAGGAACUGAAGGACAACUGUGGAUUUUGUAGGUGACCCAGAGAAUUUGAGCUCUCCCCAUACAGGAACCAUGCCCAAAACACCCUUCAGGGGCUGCCCCAGAAAAUCCCCAGUGGCAUUGACCUUGAACACAGACACCGCAGCUGCCAGACAGGGCUGCUGGCUCUGAGCCCACUGGCAACUGGAGACUGAGGGGCCGCCACUGCUGCAUAUGGAAAUCAGUGCCUCUGCCAUGAUGCUGCCAAAACAUGGAUUCCUCAAGGCCCGCAUCCUCAGUGGCUUUCUGCCAAAUUGAAGUCAUGCAUGAGUGUCUGGAUGGCCUAGCCUAAGACACAACCCAUAGCCCAGCUACAAGGGGAGAUGGAAGAGCCAAUUCUGGCAGAACCCACCAUGUAGGACAUUUUCCCAACAGAGAAAAGACUUUCAGAACAUGCUAAGUGUCACAAAACGCCUCACUUAUACACUCUCUGCCUUAACAUGAUUUUUUAACCACGAAUCUGCAAGUGAAAUGAAUGUUCCAGAAACAGACACAUUUUCCUAGGCUUUGUGUACCUGCUGCAGUGUGUGAAUAGUCUCAGAGACACAGGUUCUCCAGGUUGAAAAGUCAAGCCUUAGACCCUCCAAAGGCAUUCCCCGGCCUCUCAAGGCCACCUGGGAGUAAAGCGUCAUCAUCCCCAGAAAGAGAGCAGAGUUUCUGUCUCCCAGGAGUGGAAGUGUGUUCGAGGCAUUGGCAUAGUGCUACAUUACUGCCACAUUGGACCAGUGGAGCGGACCCCCUGUUUUUCACUGUGUCAGUAACCAGUCCCACUGUGAAGAUCAUCCAAUAUUUUAUUUUAUUUAUUUUUUUUAUUUUUUUGCUUUUAGGGCAACACCUGUGGCCUAUGGAAGUUCCCAGGCUAGGGGCUGAAUCAGAGCUGCAGCAGCUGCCCUAUGCCACAGCCACAGCAACACAGGGUCUGAGCCACAUCUGCAGCCUACACCAUAGUUCACGGCAAUGCUGGAUCCUUAACCCACUGAUUGAGGCCAGGGAUCUAACCUGCACCCUCAUUGUUACCAGUCAAGUUCAUCAUCAUUGAACUACAGCGGAACUUCUCAUCUAGUGUUUUAAUUGGUGUUGGUUUCCAUGAUUUCCUUCUGCCCUUUCCCAUGCAGGCUUAGCACCUAUCUGCUGAAGAUAAUUCAGGCCCACUCAGCGCAUCUCAUGUCCAGUUUUGUUUACUGUAAAGCAUAAAGCAUGGUCCGCAAUGCCUGCCAGGAAUGGAACACACUGGGGGAAAGCCAUAAAAGGACUGUUACUCUUUGCUUGAAACUUUGAUUUUUCUUCCUUAUACAUCCUGAAAUCUCAUCAUCUUCAUUAGCAGAAAGCCCCAAGGCCAUCAAUGAAUCUUUGGCCCUGGGACUGAAGGUAGCAGAGUUGGUGCCAUGAAGGUUCGCAUCUUCUCUGCAAAACACAGGCUGACAUUCUCCUAAAGGCAAAGGCCUGUCAUUGUUUGGAACCGAAUCUCUCUUGCAAACCCUCUCCAGGGAGUGGACUCUGAAGCCACUGGCCAGAUUUCCAAUAUGUACAUGCAGAACGAGAGAGAUUUUUCCAGUUGGUCACUAGAAAUAGAACCCAGGCAAGAGCCCUAAAAUUGGAAAGUACAUUUCCUAGCAGUUUUUGGCCCUAAAAAUAGAAAGGUAGCUUUGUUGGGCUAGAGGAAGGGAGGGGAGGAAGGCUGCCUUGUCUUGACCUGGGGAGACCCACUCCCCUGCUUGGGGUGGAGCCCCGUCUCCUGAGAUCUGACUUCAAAGCCCUGAGCACGAGCAUGGCCCUCCUGCUGCCCAGCCCUGCUGUAUUCACCCAAAAGGUGUGACCCUCCCAUUUCUCACCAUUCUGCCCAGACCCCUGUGCUAGGUGGCCAAAGCUUGCGUCUGGCACAGGUCUGGAGUCAGCAGUACUAGGUUUUCUAGCUCCAAGAAAAACCAAUGCAUUUGAGGAGGCAGUAGAUAGAUACUUAAGGUAAUGCAGGUGUCUUUGCUGAAUGGACUAGGAUGUGCGUCCCUCUGUUCUCACGUGGAUCUGAAAUGUGACUUGUGUUUCCUGAGAGCCGACCAGACAGGCUGAUGAAAAUAGGAUGCCACUGACACCAAUAAAUCACGUUUUACUGGUCUCACCUGCUAUUAUACACUUCAAAUUUUCCAAAGUUUCACUCAAGUAUUUUUGAGCUUUCUUGGGGUUCUAGCAAAUGCUCUCAGAAAGAAGCCCUUGUCAUUUCUAUUUGAUGCCUGCCUGGUCCACCUGGGGCCUCUUCAAAUGGAGUCCCAUGUCCAUGAUUCUUCAGCCAACGGCCACUGCGAGAAAAAUCAAGCCCAAGACUUCCUCUGUGCAUUCAGGGCCAGCAGUCGGUCCCAUGCACCUGGAAAUCCUUUCUGCUCAGGUUUUCCUCACAGCUUGUCCCUCCCCGGAAUUCUCACACUUAGUCUGUAUAGGCUGGGCUCGCCCUUGUGGCCAAGUGACUGGCCAUACUGGAUCCGGCAUCAUGCAACCUUUCCUGCCAUGACUGCUUUGUUAUCAGGCCAAGCUUCUCUCUCCUUCAGGGUCCAGUCCCAGCUCUGCUGCUGCCUUGCUGAGUGAUCUCAGGCCAAGCAUUUAACCUUUCUGGGUUUCAACUUUCUUGUCUGUAAAACACGGGAGAUGUGCUAGCUUCUUCCUGUACUCCCUUCUGUUCUAGGAUUUGGUGGCCUUAACCAGUACCUGAGAAAGUACUAGUUGCCUCUACGAGCUAAGCAGCGACCAGGUGCUCUGUAAGCAAGGACUUGCUAUUUUCUUUCUUCUCUCUGACAAGAAACAGGCCCCUGCUGGUCACUCUGUUCAAAACCCUCCAGUGAGAGUUCCUGUCGUGGCGCAGUGGUUAACGAAUCGACUAGGAACAUGAGGUUGCGGGUUCGUCCUGCCUUGUCAGUGGUAACGAUCUGGUGCGUGAGUGUGGUGUAGGUGCAGACACGGCUCGGAUCCGCGUGUGGCUCUGGCGUAGGCGGUGGCUACAGCUCCGAUUCGACCCUAGCUGGAAUCUCCAUAUGCCGGAGGGCCAAAAAUAGCAAAAAAAAAAAACAAAAAACAAAAAACCCUCCAGCGGCUUCCAUCAGAAAUAGAAAAACUCCAGACUCAGUGUCAUCCUCUCUUGGUCGACAUCACCUCAUACUUUUUUCACUCUUGUUUAAUACAUUCCAGAUGCACCAGCCUUCAUUUAAUCCCUGGCACAUUCUGUGUCUUUUAUUCCAAGGCAUUUGCACAUGCCCAUCCUUCUCUCUGGAAGGCUCUUCUCCCAGACCCCCCACGACUGGUCCUCUCUCAUCAUUCAGACUCGCAGGGUGCCUCACUUAGCAUCUUUCAUCCCCUCCCCGCAGCUCAUCCUCUCCAGGGCUUGAUAAAGUAUGGCCCAAGGGUCCAGUCUGUUCACAGCCACUUGUUCACAUGUUGCCUAUGGCUGCCUUUGUGUGGCACCUGCAGAGCUGGGUCCUGCAUGUGUUCAGUAGCAUCAGAGACCACGAGGUCCCUAAGGCUGAAACUAUUUAGUGUCUGGCGCUUGUCAGGAAGAGUUUGCCCAUCGCUGCCUUUCCUACAGCCUCCUUUAUCCGCAGGACCUAUCAGCAUCUGAACUGAUGAAUCAGUCUGCUUCCUUCCUUUUUGUUUUUCUCCCCCCACCAGAAUGGAAGCAUCCUCCACAUCCAAGGUCUCAUCUGUCUCACCCUGAGUGCUUUCGCUAUUUCCCCGUGCAGUGCCUGUCACAGCCUGUACAGAACAGUAGCCCAGGUGGCGUCAGGUUGGCUUCCUUUUGCUUCAUUGCAGCAACCACAACAUUCGGUAUAAAUCCUAAGAUCCGCCUCCCCACCUCCAUGGUCACGUUCACAUCCCAGGUCCCAAUUGCCUAGGUCUGCUCUUCUCCUGCCCCUUGCCCCUCUUUUGUUCCUUUCCUAUUCUCCUGUGAUGCGGUCAGUGCCAGUGUCUUCUGGCCUUUCACCCCACGUGCCUUUUCAGCCCGGGCCUCAGCCCUCGGGGACGCCAGCAGCCCUCCAGAGCACAGCCCAUUGUUAGGAGGUCAACCAAGGUCAAGGCUGUGUUCCUCUCAGCAUAUUUCUGGGGGCGGGGAGUCUGUGAGGCGGGAUGGUUUGAGGUGUCUCAAAGACUCCGCGCUUUCAGACAUUGUAGAGCUCUUCUGUUUGGGACUAUUUGACAAAUGAAUCCAGGCUCUCAGGGAAUGGAAGGCAGGGGCCAAGAGAAGAUUCAUCCAAGAAGCUCUGGAUGUCAGAUUUGGAGGAGUUUUUUGGAAUCAUCCGGUGCUUCUCAGACCUCCACCAGAACCCCCCCCCAGCGGCAAGUGAGAAUGAUGUUUCCCCAGCAAAGAAUGAAGGUGGUA
RNAcentral lists this long non-coding RNA (4835 nucleotides) under Sus scrofa (pig). RNAcentral describes it as "lncRNA (ENSSSCG00000059745.1)". Lineage: Eukaryota; Metazoa; Chordata; Mammalia; Artiodactyla; Suidae. The record is from RNAcentral.